This 75-nucleotide transfer RNA is filed under the name Caproicibacterium amylolyticum. Its description in RNAcentral is "Oscillospiraceae bacterium LBM18003 tRNA-Val". It matches the Rfam family "tRNA". Rfam says of the family: Transfer RNA (tRNA) molecules are approximately 80 nucleotides in length. Their secondary structure includes four short double-helical elements and three loops (D, anti-codon, and T loops). Lineage: Bacteria; Bacillati; Bacillota; Clostridia; Eubacteriales; Oscillospiraceae. The record is from RNAcentral.
GCCUAAAUAGCAUUAACCGGACAAAGCGCCGCACACAAUGAUGUGCACACGCGGGUUCGACUCCCGCUUUAGGCA